Molecule: ribosomal RNA, 1306 nt
Filed under: metagenome
Description: bacterial SSU rRNA
Rfam family: Bacterial small subunit ribosomal RNA
Source: RNAcentral
AGAGUUUGAUCCUGGCUCAGGACGAACGCUGGCGGCGCGCCUAACACAUGCAAGUCGAACGAGCGAGAGAGAGCUUGCUUUCUCGAGCGAGUGGCGAACGGGUGAGUAACGCGUGAGGAACCUGCCUCAAAGAGGGGGACAACAGUUGGAAACGACUGCUAAUACCGCAUAAGCCCACGGGUCGGCAUCGACCAGAGGGAAAAGGAGCAAUCCGCUUUGAGAUGGCCUCGCGUCCGAUUAGCUAGUUGGUGAGGUAAUGGCCCACCAAGGCGACGAUCGGUAGCCGGACUGAGAGGUUGAACGGCCACAUUGGGACUGAGACACGGCCCAGACUCCUACGGGAGGCAGCAGUGGGGAAUAUUGCACAAUGGGGGAAACCCUGAUGCAGCGACGCCGCGUGGAGGAAGAAGGUCUUCGGAUUGUAAACUCCUGUUGUUGGGGAAGAUAAUGACGGUACCCAACAAGGAAGUGACGGCUAACUACGUGCCAGCAGCCGCGGUAAAACGUAGGUCACAAGCGUUGUCCGGAAUUACUGGGUGUAAAGGGAGCGCAGGCGGGAAGACAAGUUGGAAGUGAAAUCUAUGGGCUCAACCCAUAAACUGCUUUCAAAACUGUUUUUCUUGAGUAGUGCAGAGGUAGGCGGAAUUCCCGGUGUAGCGGUGGAAUGCGUAGAUAUCGGGAGGAACACCAGUGGCGAAGGCGGCCUACUGGGCACCAACUGACGCUGAGGCUCGAAAGUGUGGGUAGCAAACAGGAUUAGAUACCCUGGUAGUCCACACCGUAAACGAUGAUUACUAGGUGUUGGAGGAUUGACCCCUUCAGUGCCGCAGUUAACACAAUAAGUAAUCCACCUGGGGAGUACGACCGCAAGGUUGAAACUCAAAGGAAUUGACGGGGGCCCGCACAAGCAGUGGAGUAUGUGGUUUAAUUCGACGCAACGCGAAGAACCUUACCAAGUCUUGACAUCCCUUGACAGACAUAGAAAUAUGUAAUCUCUUCGGAGCAAGGAGACAGGUGGUGCAUGGUUGUCGUCAGCUCGUGUCGUGAGAUGUUGGGUUAAGUCCCGCAACGAGCGCAACCCUUAUGGUCAGUUACUACGCAAGAGGACUCUGGCCAGUCUGCCGUUGACAAAACGGAGGAAGGUGGGGAUGACGUCAAAUCAUCAUGCCUUUAUGACUUGGGCUACACACGUACUACAAUGGCGUUAAACAAAGAGAAGCAAGACCGCGAGGUGGAGCAAAACUCAGAAACAACGUCCCAGUUCGGACUGCAGGCUGCAUCUCGCCUGCACGAAGUCGGAAUUGCU